This is an RNA transcript of Thunnus maccoyii (southern bluefin tuna), 5359 nucleotides long. It is a transcript of the gene named zinc finger protein 2 homolog, with no coding region annotated. The record is from RefSeq and is a predicted model, not a curated record. NCBI's taxonomy places the organism in Eukaryota, Metazoa, Chordata, Actinopteri, Scombriformes, Scombridae. The transcript is spliced from 8 exons.
ACCGGAAGUCUCAUUGGUUCGCUGUGAUCUCGAACUGGCGGCGGGAUAAUUGUAUUGUUGUGCUAACACACGAGCUUAUUUCUCAUCUUUUAAGCGGCAGAACUGCAGACCGAGGUGACGUCUUCAAAUGUCGUGUUUUUUGUACCUCGACACUGGUUGCUACCCAACAUAAAACAGGAAGUAGAAGAAGAAGAACAGUCAAUCAGUCAGAGAGGAGACCUGCUGGAUGGAGGAGAACCAGAACCUGGAGAACCACACCGACAACCCUGUUACAAUGGAAGAACCAGGUUCACACUCCAACAACAUAGCAGGUGUCAGUAAUGCACCUCAACACUGGUUGCUACUUGAAAUAAAACAGGAAGAAGAAGAAGAAGAAGAACAGUCCAUCAGUCAGAGAGGAGACCAGAAGACGGAGAACCACACCGACAACCCUGUUAAAAGAGAAGAACCAGGUUCACCCUCUGCUACCACCGAUAAACAGGGGACAGAAAACUCUGGUUCACACUCCAACAACACAGCAGGUGUCAGUAAUGCACCUCAACACUGGUUGCUACCCGACAUAAAACAGGAAAAAGAAGAAGAAGAAGAACAGUCCAUCAGUCAGAGAGGAGACCUGCUGGAUUUCACAGACCAGGACCACUACAAGAUCAAAAUAGAGGAGAACCAGAACCCGGAGAACCACACCAACAACCCUGUUAAAAGAGAAGAAGCAGGUUCACCCUCUGCUACCACCGAUAAACAGGGGAUCGAUAACUCUGGUUCACACUCCAACAACAUAAAACAGGAAAAAGAAGAAGAAGAGGAAUUGUUCAUCAGUCAGAGAGGAGACCAGGACCACUACGAGAUUGAAAUGGAGGAGAACCAGAACCCGGAGAACCACACCAACAACCCUGUUACAAUGGAAGAACCAGGUUCACCCUCUGCUACCACCGAUAAACAGGAGAAUGGUGCUGCUAUUGCUAAUGAGGCAAUUAAUGGCAACAUGAGUGAGGGGGUCACAGAGAGGCAUGGACGCAGACACAGCGAGUGGUUUGGGGAAGAACAUCUCGUGGAUUAUUUAUUGUCACACCCAUUCCACAGUUUGGAUUACGCAGUAAAGAUGAGGAUCAAGACUGCUGGACGACCAACUCCACAGAUAACCAUGAUCAAAAAUGCUAGACCAGGUCAACAGAAAGAUUCAAAACUGACUAAGGUCUGGUAUGAGAGAUAUUCUUGGCUAACGGGCAGUCCCACAACUAACCGCUUGUAUUGUUGGCCAUGCCUUCUGAUGGGGAACCCUAAAGCUCACUUCAACACUUGGUCUGCUCAAGGAUUCUGUGAUGUUAAGAAUUUAGAUAGGGCUACGAAAAGGCAUGACAAGUGUUUCGAGCACAUCAGUGCGAAUAGUAAGCUGAAGCUUUUUGGUCGGGUGCCUAACAAAGAGUUGGUUGACGAGGGGACGCGUUUGCAGAGAGCAAACCACAACGUUAAAGUGAGACGAAACAGAGAUGCCUUAAUCCGCCUAAUCGAUGCGACGGCUUAUCUUGGAAUGCAAGAGCAAUCUUUUAGAGGGCAUGACGAGAGGCAGGAGUCCGCUAACAAGGGCAACUACAGGGAGUUGGUGGACUUGAUAGCACGCUAUGACAACAUAUUAGCAGAGCAUAUUGAAAAUUCUGGUGUUUUCUCCGACCUGUCUAAAACGAUUCAGAAUGAUUUGAUAUCAGCAAUUGCAUCAACAAUUAAAAGUGAGAUCAAAGGAGAGGUGGAUGCAGCUCCCUUUUUUGCUUGGCAGAUUGACGAAACAACUGAUGUGAGCUGUCACUCUCAGUUGUCUGUUAUUGUCCGUUAUAUAGACGAUAAUGGCACAAUUCAGGAGCGCUUUUUGGGCUUUUUUGAUGUGUCCAGUGGACGGGAUGCCCAGUCCAUUUUUGAGUUAUUGCAGUCAGAGAUGUCUGGUUUUAACUUUGAGGAGAAGCUCAUUGCACAAACUUACGAUGGGGCUGCCAUUAUGGCAUCAGAUCUUAACAGUUUGCAAGCUAAGGUGCGAGCAGUUGCCCCCAGUGCAGUCUUUGUGCAUUGCUAUGCACAUCGCCUUAAUCUUGUUCUUAGCCAAGGAUUGAAAAGCAUCCCCAAGGCCAAGAUUUUCUUUGCUACUCUUGGUGGGUUCAGCUCUUAUUUUUGCAAAUCAACCAAAAGAGUAAUGAUGCUGGAAGAAUCUGGGUGUUCCAGAGUGCCAAGAAAUGAGCCCACACGUUGGAACUUCACCUCUCAUAUUGUCAACACAGUGGCUCUUAACAGAGACAGCCUGAUAGACACAUUCACUCGCAUCAUCAAUCAUCCCUCAAUGGAUGAUGAGUCUGUAAGAACAGCAGAUGGGCUGAAAACAAAGUUAGAGGACUUUGAAUUUAUGUUUUUGCUUUAUACAAGUGAGCAGAUUUUCUCUCAGACAGACGUCGUGUUUGAUGUGUUGCAGAAAAAAGCAAUGGAUGUUUCACUUUGUAAAAGGAGUGUUGAGAAGCUCAUGGACACUUUGGAGGAGCUGAAGUCAGAGGAGGCAUUUGAGAGGAUUUUCAGUAGAGCAGCAGAUGUUACAGAGGAUCCGGAGCUUGUGCACAGAAGGAAACGUAGACAAGGUAAUGAGGAUCCCAGAAAAGUUUAUAGGCGACUGUAUGACUCCAUCCAUACAAGUGUUAAAAGUCAGAUCGGUCAGCGGUAUCAAAACCUUGAAUGUUUGAGAUUCAUGGAGCUUCUAGAUUUUGCUAAAUUCCCAUCGUUCAGGACAGAAUUUCCCUUGGAUGCAUUCAGAAGUCUGACAGAUAAUUACAGCCAUUUCUUUGACCUGGUAAAACUGAAGACAGAGUUGCAGGUGUUUUACAGCGACAAGGAGAUCCAAGGUGGCAGCAAUAAGCUGUGCGAUUCAUUACAGUCAAUGAAAGCCAGUGGACUGAAUGAUGCGAUGCCUGAAUUGUACAGACUUAUGUCUCUCAUUGCCACAAUUGGGGUUACGUCUGCUGGGGUUGAGAGGAGUUUCUCUUGUCUGAAAAGACUGAAAAGCUACACAAGGAACACAAUGGGACAAGAACGACUGAAGAACUUGGCAAUCCUUGCAAUCGAGAGGAAGAUUCUAAAAUCUCUUAGAAAGAAUCCUCACUGGUACGAGAAUACCAUAGACAUCUUCGCUGCACAGACUUCUAGAGGAAUGGACUUCUCUUUCAAGUAAAUUUGUCACCCAGUCCCUUUAGCUGGUCCUGAUGACAACAGCCACUCUGCCCCUCUAUCUGCGUCUGACGACAACAGUCACUCUGCCCCUCUAUCUGGUCCUGAUCACAACAGCCACUCUACCCCUCUAUCUGGUCCUGACAACAACAGCCACUCUGCCCCUCUAUCUGCUCCUGAUGGCAACAGCCACUCUGCCUCUCUAUCUGGUCCUGAUGGCAACAGCCACUCUACCCCUCUAUCUGCCCCUGAUGACAACAGCCACUCUGCCCCUCUAUCUGCUCCUGACAACAACAGCCACUCUACCCCUCUAUCUGGUCCUGAUGACAACAGCCACUCUGCCCCUCUAUCUGGUCCUGAUGGCAACAGCCACUCUGCCCCUCUAUCUGGUCCUGAUGGCAACAGCCACUCUGCCCCUCUAUCUGGUCCUGAUGGCAACAGCCACUCUGCCCCUCUAUCUGCUCCUGACAACAACAGCCACUCUGCCCCUCUAUCUGCUCCUGAUGACAACAGCCACUCUGCCCCUCUAUCUGGUCCUGAUGACAACAGCCACUCUGCCCCUCUUUCACGGUCCUCAAGACAACAGCCACUCUACCCCUCUAUCUGCUCCUGUCAACAACAGCCACCAAGCCCCUCUUUCACGGUCCUGAUGACAACAGCCACUCUGCCCCUCUAUCUGCCCCUGAUGACAACAGCCACUCUGCCCCUCUAUCUGCCCCUGAUGACAACAGCCACUCUGCCCCUCUAUCUGCUCCUGUCAACAACAGCCACCGAGCCCCUCUUUCAUGGUCCUGAUGGCAACAGUCACUCUGCCCCUCUAUCUGGUCCUGAUGGCAACAGCCACUCUGCCCCUCUAUCUGGUCCUGAUGACAACAGCCGCUCUGCCUUGUGACCUUACAAGAUCCAAAGAAAAGGGUUUCCGCCAGUGUAUUACAAGCCCGGUGGCCCGUUGGGCCUAAGUUGACCCCCCGCUAGGCUUAAGCAUCAGGGAUUUUUUUUAAUGUAUUGAGCCACUAGCUCAGCUGCAGCACAGGUGACUGUCAAAGCUCCAGCAGACUCUCUAUGUCUUCAGCGUGGACACGAAGAGCCUGACAGCAGCCACUCAUGGCUAAUUAUUUUGCUUGCAUUUCUUCUUCGUUGUGAUCUACAAUUGCCGUCCAUCUGACGUCACCAGUUUGUUCAGCGCCUCGAUGAGGAUGUAGUGGCACUCUGUUAGUGAAACUUCAGGGCUCUACCUUAAUGCUGCCAUCAGUCUUUGCUGGGCCCCUGUCAAAAAGACGCUUGGCCCCAUCAAGAGAUCCAAAGAAGACAGCCAGCCUUUACUUCUCUCUUGGUCUUGGAGGACUGGAUGCAACAACAGGCCUCACAGGAGCGAUGAAGAUGAUCCCCAAACAUGUAAAGUGUGUGGCGAACCCUCCCACAUGUAGAAGAACUCAUGACACAAUUCCUUUUUGCUUUGUUUUUUAAUAAUUCCAGAUUUUCAGAGUUUUCCUUUUUUAAAUCAGAGGGUCUUGUGUUAAAUUCCCACUGUAAUGUACUGGGUGCCGCCCCUCAUUGGAUGGGGAUAAACUUUGGGUGCGUUACCUUAGUUGUUUAAUAAGUUUGCAUUACUAAUUGGAUUAUUACUACAUUUGAGUUCUUAUGUGGAUCACGUAUCUGUCGUAGUCGUUCGCAGUGGCUCAUUCUCAUAAUUCCCCGUGAUGGUUUUAACCUGACACCUACUGACCAUUUAAUAAAAUUGCACCCACUGUUUUAUUAUGGGUGUUUGCCAAUGAUGAUGUUGUGAUAAUUAUUUUGAUAUUUCCUUUGUAGCCUAAAAAGAGAGCUGAUAAUGGCCAGCUGUUUACUUAUAUGUAUAUUUUAAUUAUCUUAACAGAAACCACGCACUACUUAAAACAUGGCCUGGUCCACCUGUACUUUUGAUAAUGCAUGUUGGGAAUAAAAUAUUGGAAUUUGAAGUUAACUUCAUUUGUCUAAUUGGAAAUCAGGCCAGCUUGGAUUCAGCCAGUAACUGGUCAUCACCAGUCACCACACUUUCCCUCACAGGUGUUGAACACCAGCCUGCUUCUUAUUACAUCUGACACCCUUGAUGAAUACUGUUCUGUAGGUCUGUAUGGUUCAUCUGGAGACAAAAAUAUUGAAUAAAAUUAUGUUUUUAAGAAAU